RNAcentral lists this ribosomal RNA (484 nucleotides) under uncultured Flavobacteriaceae bacterium. RNAcentral describes it as "bacterial SSU rRNA". It matches the Rfam family "Bacterial small subunit ribosomal RNA", at positions 28 to 505 of the family's 1533-position model. Lineage: Bacteria; Pseudomonadati; Bacteroidota; Flavobacteriia; Flavobacteriales; Flavobacteriaceae. The record is from RNAcentral.
GAUGAACGCUAGCGGCAGGCUUAACACAUGCAAGUCGAGGGGUAACAGGAGGUGCUUGCACUUCGCUGACGACCGGCGCACGGGUGCGUAACGCGUAUACAAUUUGCCUUAUACAGGGGGAUAGCCUUUAGAAAUGAAGAUUAAUACCCCAUAGUACAUUAGAAUCGCCUGAUUUUAAUGUUAAAGAUUUAUCGGUAUAAGAUGAGUAUGCGUUCUAUUAGCUAGAUGGUAAGGUAACGGCUUACCAUGGCAACGAUAGAUAGGGGUCCUGAGAGGGAGAUCCCCCACACUGGUACUGAGACACGGACCAGACUCCUACGGGAGGCAGCAGUGAGGAAUAUUGGGCAAUGGAGGCAACUCUGACCCAGCCAUGCCGCGUGAAGGAAGACGGCCCUAUGGGUUGUAAACUUCUUUUAUAGAGGAAGAAACCCUCCCACGUGUGGGAGGCUGACGGUACUCUACGAAUAAGCACCGGCUAACUCCG